Long non-coding RNA from Pleuronectes platessa (European plaice), 840 nucleotides. RefSeq lists it as uncharacterized. The transcript has 2 exons. NCBI's taxonomy places the organism in Eukaryota, Metazoa, Chordata, Actinopteri, Pleuronectiformes, Pleuronectidae. The record is from RefSeq and is a predicted model, not a curated record.
GCUGCUGUAGAGGAAGGAGGUGCUGCUGUAGAGGAAGGAGGAGGAGCUGCUGUAGAGGAAGGAGGAGGAGCUGCUGUAGAGGAAGGAGGAGGAGCUGCUGUAGAGGAAGGAGGAGCUGCUGUAGAGAAAGGAGGAGCUGCUGCAACGAACAAGAAGGUCAGAGGAAGUAUCAUGAACAUCUAGUGUCUGCAGGGACGUUCUGACCAGGAACAUCACAGGAACAUCACAGGAACAUCACAGGAACAUCACAGGAACAUCACAGGAACAUUACAGGAACCUCGGGUCCAUCACAGAAGACUCAGGCUCCUCGAGCUCCGACCCUGUGAACCUGCAACACGAAGCAGCAACGUGUGACUUGAGCCACUGAGCAGAGCGGAUUCAAACCAUCAACGUGUUCUCAAAGGAUCUCAGGACUUCAUAUAGUUCACAUAUUUAUGAAUCAGAGAUUCUGGAUAUUGUUUUCUAUUUGUUAAGUUAUUUCUAACCUUCCUCUAGUUCAUUAGAACGUCUGAUGACUGUUUCCUGUUCUUCUAUUCUUCUGUUGACUCAGAGAACGACUCAACUGAUUCCAGGUCUGUGAGAGUUCCUCUGGACGAUGGAUUUAAUGUUUGUAUUCAUAUAAGAAAAGGGAACUGAUAAAACUGCAAAUAAGUUAUUUCUCAUAAAAUAUUAUUUUACUAGUUCAUUGUAAAAUGUUGAUCUUUUGUAAAUAAAUGAAAACGUUGUCAAACAGUUUGAGUUCAUGAGUUUUAUCAUUAGAAUUAUUUAAAACAAAAUUUAUUCUGGUGAAAAUGUUUGUGAUUCUGAUGAUAAACAAUAAACUUUGAUUUGAUUUGAUAA